Long non-coding RNA from Cebus imitator (Panamanian white-faced capuchin), 615 nucleotides. RefSeq lists it as uncharacterized. The transcript has 2 exons. Lineage: Eukaryota; Metazoa; Chordata; Mammalia; Primates; Cebidae. The record is from RefSeq and is a predicted model, not a curated record.
GGCCCGAUGUCUCUGUUGUGUCCAUCUCUGAGGGACAACAAGGUCCUGGCAAAGGGGACCCCUGUGAGCCAGAGUCUUGGAUCCUCAGCACCGCGGACAGGAGCGUGCGAGGCCAGCACCAAGGAGAGCUCCCGCGGUCGCCGUCGUGACAGAGGUCGCCAGGGGCGGAGUCCCGGCCAUGGACGGAGAGAUGUGGGAGCAAGGGACUCAGGGAGACGGCGACACAAACGUGCCAACAAACAUAUAGUGAGACAGAGAUAACCCAGGCAAAGGCGCGGACUUGAGACGACAAGCUCCUGGGGAAAAACACGGACCCAGGUUCGCCGUCAUCCCCGUCGUCCAUCAGGGGUCGCUCUUACCCAGCGACCGCGCCCUCCAGGACCUUGGGGCCAGAUACUGGCCACCACCCCUUGGAAAGCCCUUCUGUCCCCCAAUGCCAGGACUUGGAGUGCUGAGGGCUCGGACACUCUCCAGCUUCGGGAAGCAUGGUGGGUUUGGCCUCAUCUGUGUGAACAGGGAGGAGCGUCGAGGGAGGUGAAAAUCCCUUUAACUGCCCCACUCUCCAACUAUCAGCUAAUCGCUCCUAUAAAUACAGACGGCCUGGCCUGGCUCCUU